This is a non-coding RNA of Anas platyrhynchos (mallard), 104 nucleotides long. The record is from Rfam. Lineage: Eukaryota; Metazoa; Chordata; Aves; Anseriformes; Anatidae.
UUUUCAUAAGGCAUAGUUAUACUAAAAUUGGAAUGGUACAGGGAAGAUUAGCAUGGCUCCUGCGCAAGGAUGACACACAAAUUCGUGAAGCAUUCCAUAUUUUG